GCUGUGACUAAGCCGACGCUGCUGAGGAGGAAAGCCUAAUCAGUCAUCCGCGUUCCGUCUCAUUCACUGAGCAGAAUGUGUUACGUAAAGUCACAAACAUUUGAAUUAUCCUCAUCUCGGUGGUUCGCUCUUUGGUUUCGGAUCAAACUGGGCAGGAGGUUUGUUUGUUCCUUGACAGCGUUCUGCGCCGCGCGGAUACUUGGAGAUUCUUCCUUCGCAUUCGCACAAGCGUGCAACAUGAAAAUUGUAGAAACAAAGGGGUGAGAAAAGAUGACGCGACCCCCGUGAACUUCAUCUUCCAACCGUCCAAAGAAAGACGAACGCGUUUUCUGAGGCAUAAUUGCAACCAGACGGCGGCUCAUUUCAACAGCAUGUCCGCUCUUUAUUUAAAACGAGCUCCAGUCCGUCCAUUUUAAAUGGGGCAAACGGAGCAGAGUGCGAUUCAAGCCUUUCGCCUCGGCAGAGCGGCUGUUUGGGCAGAUAUUAGCUCCUUUUAGUACGCUGACCACUCCACCAAAACCCGAUGAUACAAAAGUCUGAAAAUUGGAUAUGGUCACUGGGGAAUAAGGGGACGGGAGGAAAUCAGAAUUACUCCUCAUUUGUGUGUGAUUUACAUUUUUUCAAUUGGUCUUUUGAAAAAGACCAGCGCUGGACUCAAAUAAGAAGAUUAAAAAGCAAAUACAGUUUUGUCAAACCAGGCGGCUCGGGUGAGAGCCGUUCAGUUUCACGUCAGCUUUAAGUCGGAGAUUUGCUGUCAGGUUGCUACUGUAGCUUACUGGGGGAUUUAAGUGGCUUUUUGGCAAGGGCCCUUUUAACAAAACGCGCUGUGCGUUAUUUCAACAUUAAAGUGGGAGAUGUGAGGAAAAGAAAGUGGGAUCGGAACAUUAUUCUUGGGUCAUCGCGUAUAUGUUUUACCCUGUAAUACAUCCUCUAAAACCAGGAAAACACAACACUUUGCCGUAUUCAAGAUCUAGUUUAAAACGUAGUAACACAACAGAUGGUGUGUAAAUAUUUGUACCAGCUCUGUGGCAACAUUCACGCCAACCCGUGUUUUCAGCAGCUUUAAAUGUGAUAAAUAAUUCAGCUGGAAAAACAUCGAGGACGGACAAGUUCCAUUUUCACUGAUUUCACUACAAACCCAGCCGAGGCCAACGGGUGUUUUCUGUUCAUCUCACUGGAUGAGACAAAUAGAUCGUGAACUUCAGGCCGACUCGCCUGCUGUGUCCACUCGCCCGGCAAGCAGCAGUGCUGUCUUUAUCAAUCUCCACGUGUUUACAAUGUCCGCGCUCUGGACCUUCUGCAGGGGAAGGCCAGUCGGAUGGAUCCACAGCUCAGGGCAGCCGUGCUGAAGGCGGUCGGGGACCGGACUACCCAGUCGUCCGGUCGUCAGCUGACCCACGUCCCUCAAGUCAAUUUCCCGCCAUGAGCUCCGGUCUCACCGAAUCCCAAUGAGUUGACAAACGGCGAGACCGACCUGUGAGGUCUCUUGCAAAUCAGCCUGUUAUCAGAUGAGCAUGAUUUGCACGCGUUAUGGUGUCCCUGAAUUUUUUAUUGAUGCUGUCAAGUAAGACGACUUUGCAGUGCAUGUUUGUGCAAAGUGCUUCCUGUUCGUUUUGCUUUGAAAGCUUUAUUUAGUGUGUCACUUGAGGCAUGAAGACAAAAUUCUGCCUUGAGUCAGGACAUCUGUCUUACACAACAAAACAGAUAUUCCAUGUUUUUUAAAGGGCUUUGGUGAGAAGGAGAAAAAUACAAAAGCUCAUAAGUAAAUAUAGCGCAGGCAGGAGAUAAGUGCCGGGGCAGAUACGAGUCUUACCACGAGUUCUACCGAGGUAAAUCGAAAACAAACUUUAGCGGAGAUCCUUUCUUUCCUGCCGCUGCGUCGUGAUGGCAAAGCUCCGAUAGGCGGUUGACAGCUGAAGACAUUCUGGCUUUGUUUGUUUCUGCAAAGCCACCAUGUUACAUGAAUUGUUUUCCCUCCGCACAGAUUUCUGUGGAUGGCGGUUCCAUCUGAUGGCGGUUCCAUCUGAUGGUUCCAUUCAUAGGCGGUUCCAUCUGAUGGCGGUUCUAUCUUAAGGUUCCAUCUUUAGGCGGUUCCAUCUGAUGGUUCCAUGUUAGGAUUACAUUUGUAGGCGGUUCCAUCUUAAGGUUACAUUCAUAGGCGGUUCCAUCUGAUGGUUCCAUCUUAAGGUUACACUCAUAGGCGGUUCCAUUUUAAGAUUACAUCUGAUGGCGGUUCCAUCUAAUGGUUCCAUCCUAAGGUUCCAUUUGUAGGCGGUUCCAUCUGAUGGUUCCAUCUCAAGGUUCCUUUCAUAGGCGGUUCCAUCUUAAGAUUCCAUCUGAUGGCGGUUCCAUCUAAUGGUUCCAUUCAUAGGCGGUUCCAUCUUAAGAUUCCAUCUGAUGGUGGUUCCAUUCAUAGGCGGUUCCAUCUUAAGAUUCCAUCUGAUGGCGGUUCCAUCUGAUGGUUCCAUCUUAAGGUUCCAUUUGUAGGCGGUUACAUCUGAUGGUUCCAUCUUAAGAUGGAACCUUAACGUUCUAUUUGUAGGUGGUUCCAUCUGAUGGCGGUUCCAUCAGAUGGAACCUGGCCUGGCGUCACUACUGGUCCUGGCGCUCACUAUUGUCAGUAUGUGAAUCCUUCUUGUCGUAUGAAUAAAACGUUCCGUACAUCUUCCACGUGGUUCCUUCGGUACUCAUGACAUCCAUUGCAUUCUGUCCGUCCGGGGAGAGGGAUCCCUCCUCUGCCGCUCGCCCUCGCGUGUCUUCCCUUUCUUGGGGGAAGUUUUGCUCCUCCGCCGAUGUGGCAAAUUCGUAAUUCUGGGCCGAACCAAAUCAAAUAGAUGUAAUAGAAUCCGCUCCGUAUCCGGUUUGCAGAGAUGAUUCACAAGUGGCGAGCGGCAUGACAGCGUAUGUGCAGGCGACACGGAACCCCGUUGAGGAAAGGAAGGCGUGUCUUCCUGUAUGGAGGUCGUCAAAAUGUGAAAGACGGCGCGGCGUUGACGUCACGUGGUUUGUGUUUUCAACAGGGCUUAAUUGGCCCCACUUCAGAGGGACAAUGAUCCAAAGCCAAAGUUGCUUCUGAAGAUUAUAAACUGUGCGCUUGCCAUCCAGCAGACGUAAUUGGGUGCUUAAAAAGUUAAUAACUUUUGAAUAAAAGUGCUCGUCAGCUUUUUAGCACAUCACAUGUAAUCUGUGACCGGGGCUCCACGAGCACGCAUGCUAAUGACGACCAAAGGGAUUUAAUUAAACGAUUUUCCUCCCCUUACAGUUUAUUCCACUUCAAGUUUAGAAUGCAUUCCAACUUAAUUUCACAGGCGAUAUGAUUUGAAUAAUGCCUUGGCAUAAGCCAGUUUGAAUUUAAUUAAGAUAACUGUUUGUCUUCCCAAAUCAACCCACGCUCUUAGUUCAAGAUGUGUUUUGCCAUCGUGAAAGAGCAAACAGAGGAGCAUGGCCUUAGGUUACAAACUCAGGUCUGUAGUUGAGAAGGUGUCAGGAAACUUAAAUCUUGAUCCUCCCCUCGGCGAUAAUUCCAUAAUUGCAUAUUUUAGUACAAAAAAAACCUUUUAACAACUUUGAAAUUCACUAAAAAUGGGUGUUUUUUAAAUACCAUUUCUAUAAUAAACCAAAUACUAUUUAAGUACUUCAUUUGUACGUUAUUUUCAGGUGAUGUUUUAAAGAAUUUCCACACCAUGUUCCACUUUCUGCGCCGUGUUGGAUCGGUCUGCGUUGUGUGACUCAUCUGGUGUCGCACGCUGCACUAUGGAAAUAAAAAGCCAUUAUAAACGUAUCACACUGCUAAAUAUGACUGGUGCGGCUGCGCGUAGUAGAACGACAUAUUCCAUCAACCUCCGCACAAUACUCCACCUUUUCAUUUCCACAAAAACAAACAUUAAGUUGCGGUGAUGGGUCAGCAGAAUUAUGCUUUAGAGCGUACCUGGGAAAAGGCAAAUUCAAUUGCUCGGUUUGUGUGCAGCGGCGCCCAUCCCGAUGACAAACUGCCCUCAGGGGAAGUUCCACUGCAGAAUAAUUGAGUAUUAAAAAUCUAAAAUCAGAUCUCUCAAAAAUGAAAGUAGUUUUUUCUCCGUGUGUGUGUGUGUGUGUGUGUGUGUGUGUGUACGGUGAUGUGGCAGCUGUAAGUAAUUGAAAGGCGAUCCAAGGCCAUCGCGUCUAAUGCCUUUUAUAAAGUUGUAAACCAGGGUCAUUAUUUAAACACGACCACAGAGGAGAGCGCGUGGAAGCGCGUGGUUUGCGUCACGCUGGACCGAACCGCGGAGCAGAAAAGCGUCUCACGCGGCACCGACGAAAAGGUACAACGGCGAGCUGCGCUAAAUCAAGAGCUGUCGUAUGCGAUGCAACUUCCUGCACAGCGUCCAAUGGAAGCGCCCCCCCCCCUCCCCCUCCCCCCGCCCCCGAAGGCCCGUUAACGCGCCCGCGACAGGCCUCCUUGUCACCUGCGUGACAAAGCCGCACCGCAACGACAAACAGGGCCGCCGCUUUGUUCCGUAUUCAUCGGGCCGAUAAACAGCAGUAAUCACAGUAAUGAUGUCUGUUCGAGGGCGCUGGGGAGCUACGUUGGGGGGGCGGAUAAGGGGCAUGUGCAGGAGGGUUCGGGGAGGAGAAGGGUGUUGUUAAUCUGAGAGGCUUGUGUGGAGUUUAGAGGGAGGUGGGGGAGGAAGGGGGACACGGCUGCUCACGCCGAGAUAAGCCAGGACCAGCGCCGCCCCGGCCCGGUAAGGCUGGCCUCGCCGCUCCCUUCCCGGGCCAGGGUAUUGGCCUGCGUGCGAUAAGAUGCUCCCGAGCAUUGCAAAAUAGCACAGGUAUUAGCC
This is a long non-coding RNA of Gasterosteus aculeatus aculeatus (three-spined stickleback), 4820 nucleotides long. Lineage: Eukaryota; Metazoa; Chordata; Actinopteri; Perciformes; Gasterosteidae. The record is from Ensembl.